Molecule: non-coding RNA, 988 nt
Organism: Notechis scutatus (mainland tiger snake)
Lineage: Eukaryota; Metazoa; Chordata; Lepidosauria; Squamata; Elapidae
Source: RefSeq, a predicted model, not a curated record
GCACACAGGAUUUAAGGCAACAAAAGCAAUGCAACCUGGCGGGCAGGUAACCCAAACAGAGCAAGGGCUUUUGAGUCGAAGGCUGCAGGGCGAGGCAACCCUAAAGGGGGAGAAGGUGCCAAAUUCAGUCCUUGGACUUUCUUGAUAAAACUGGCAAACACUGCAGAAGGAACAUAUCGCUCCACACCCUCAAAUUCCUGAUAAGAGGCAACCUAUUUAGGGUUUGGCCACGCCGGACAAAUUUCUGGGAAUUUGUCCCUCAAAACAUCUGGAGAACCCAGAUUGGCAAAGGUUCCAUUAGUUAAUUGUACUUGAUCUUCAAGCAACUAUUGUUUGCACAACCUCUUGCAGAAGAAGAAAGAUCUGUUUUUAAUUUAGACAUUCAAGAGCUCUGUUGAUCGAGGCUGAAUUUUCAUCUCCAGGGGCAGGUAGAAAAAUUAUAUACCCUGAAACUCAGGAAUUGCAGAAAAGCUGUUUCAUAACCUCUCUCUUUCUCCAGAAGCCACCAAACCUGUUUCUACCGGUGCUUUAGUGUUGCACCAUCAUGCCACGUAGGGUCAUACUAAGAGCAAGUAAAAUAUUUUAAAUGAUUGAGGCCGGUGGAGAAAAGCAGACAACCCCCACUUUCUGGAAAGUUCAAACUUUGCCAAACAUUUCUGUCGUAUUUUGGAAAGCAAUGUAACCACGCUGUGACUUGCUGUAAUAGUAAGACAGGUGGGUCCUCAAUUUACAACCACAACUUGCCUGAAACCUACAGUAAAGGAAAUGCAUAUUUAAUUAUACCUGUAUUAACUGCAGCUAGAAUUGUAUUUGCACAAAAUUGGAAAAGUGAUAAGAUUCCUACAGAUGAGAAUGGGAUGAGGAAAAUAUUAGAAUGUGCAGAAAUGUAACAGAUUAACGCUUGCUAUAAAGGAGAAAGAACCAACUGAAUCUUAUAUGACACGGGAGCUAUUUCAUGGAGGGUUGGAGAAUAAAAACAGAAGUGAGA